This 588-nucleotide ribosomal RNA is filed under the name Serratia sp. VK6. Its description in RNAcentral is "bacterial SSU rRNA". It matches the Rfam family "Bacterial small subunit ribosomal RNA", at positions 58 to 637 of the family's 1533-position model. Lineage: Bacteria; Pseudomonadati; Pseudomonadota; Gammaproteobacteria; Enterobacterales; Yersiniaceae. The record is from RNAcentral.
CAAGUCGAGCGGUAGCACAGGGAGCUUGCUCCUGGGUGACGAGCGGCGGACGGGUGAGUAAUGUCUGGGAAACUGCCUGAUGGAGGGGGAUAACUACUGGAAACGGUAGCUAAUACCGCAUAACGUCUACGGACCAAAGUGGGGGACCUUCGGGCCUCAUGCCAUCAGAUGUGCCCAGAUGGGAUUAGCUAGUAGGUGGGGUAAUGGCUCACCUAGGCGACGAUCCCUAGCUGGUCUGAGAGGAUGACCAGCCACACUGGAACUGAGACACGGUCCAGACUCCUACGGGAGGCAGCAGUGGGGAAUAUUGCACAAUGGGCGCAAGCCUGAUGCAGCCAUGCCGCGUGUGUGAAGAAGGCCUUCGGGUUGUAAAGCACUUUCAGCGAGGAGGAAGGGUAGUGUGUUAAUAGCACAUUGCAUUGACGUUACUCGCAGAAGAAGCACCGGCUAACUCCGUGCCAGCAGCCGCGGUAAUACGGAGGGUGCAAGCGUUAAUCGGAAUUACUGGGCGUAAAGCGCACGCAGGCGGUUUGUUAAGUCAGAUGUGAAAUCCCCGCGCUUAACGUGGGAACUGCAUUUGAAACUGGC